RNAcentral lists this ribosomal RNA (492 nucleotides) under Philautus umbra (pinnacle bubble-nest frog). RNAcentral describes it as "partial 16S ribosomal RNA". It matches the Rfam family "Bacterial large subunit ribosomal RNA", at positions 1901 to 2573 of the family's 2925-position model. The record is from RNAcentral. Lineage: Eukaryota; Metazoa; Chordata; Amphibia; Anura; Rhacophoridae.
CCAGCCUGCCACUGAUAAAUUCAACGGCCACGGUACCCUGACCGUGCAAAGGUAGCAUAAUCACUUGUUCUUUAAAUAGGGACUAGUAUCAAUGGCAUCACGAGGGUCGCACCGUCUCCUUUCCCUAAUCAGUGAAACUGAUCUCCCCGUGAAGAAGCGGGGAUAAAACUAUAAGACGAGAAGACCCCAUGGAGCUUUAGACUUCCAGCAACUAUACUACAUAUUUCCUCACAAUAUAAAGUUAUGCCUACUAGUCUUAGGCUGGGGCGGCCGCGGAGUAAAAAACAACCUCCAUGACGAAAGAACACUUAUCUAUGAGUUACUACUCUAAGAAUUAGCACACUAACGUACAAUGACCCGAUAAACGAUCAACGAACCAAGUUACCCUGGGGAUAACAGCGCAAUCUACUUCAAGAGCCCAUAUCGACAAGUAGGCUUACGACCUCGAUGUUGGAUCAGGGUAUCCUAGUGGUGCAGUCGCUACUGAUGGUU